Anopheles arabiensis is the source of this 1500-nucleotide long non-coding RNA. RefSeq lists it as uncharacterized. The record is from RefSeq and is a predicted model, not a curated record. Lineage: Eukaryota; Metazoa; Arthropoda; Insecta; Diptera; Culicidae. The transcript is spliced from 3 exons.
AAAUCCUUUCCUAUUCCUUCAGAAACUGUCAAAUUUAUCUCGAACACCCUGUAUGUGAGGGGGCGCGAAUUAAUCAGGCUCUCUGAGUCUGCAAGAACGCUCGUUGUUAGCGCCGACGAAAUUUGUGCCGUUUUUCGGAAAAUAUUUCGGUAGGUGGACCCCUUCGACUCACAAACCGACGAAUUGCCAUGAUGCACGCUACUGUAGGCAAGCUGUGUGCGACUUCUAGAUGCAAUGCUCGUGUAACGAGGCAAGUAAACACAGCUACGUGCCGUUUUUCUCGCCGUCUUGCAUUGACCACCUCUAUUGGCCCCAGGUAGUCGAUGCUAAACUAAACGGAUGAAUGUGGGAGCGUUGACAUUAUUUCAUUGACCUGGAGACACACGAACGCAGGUGUUGUAUGUAGUACCGCUGCCUAAUCUCAUACACAACCGUUUCGCGAUUGGCAUGCCCGAACCUGCGGUGAUAAUCGUUAAUGAUCAGUUCCGUUACGGCGUGAUUUUUCGGGAGUAUGAUCGGAUAACGUGCGUUGAGAUCUAUCUGCUUUGCUUUGCAUAUUCAGCUAUUCACGCGUAGAGCUCCGUGUGCGUCUUUAAAAGGCGUAAGCAAGAAUAGGGGAUUGUUUUUCUCCAGUUCGGUUGCGGCAUCCUGUUUUAGGUCUGGCUGGCUGAUCUCUAGCUUUUGCAUUUCCGCAUGAUAUGGAAGAUUACACAAGAAGACGCAUAUCAGCCUUCUCAAACUCUUCGGAGCUCAGGGGUAAGUUUUCAUACGAAACAGAUUUUAGAAUAUGAGCUUGCUGUUUUUUAGUGGCCUUUAACGUCUACAAUUUGGCAUAAACCGGUACAGAAUCGCUACUGUCCGCACAAACACGCACCAUUUAGAAAAUCGUUCAGGUUUUAAGCUAAAACUCUCUAUUUCUGUGUGCAUCAUUACAUAUCGGCGACGCUCUUCGGUUGUGUUAUCGAUUGGUCUCUGUGGUGGCCAAGCUUUUUCUGGUUUGUGCAAGAACGGUGGUCCAAGAAACCACAUUCCGUUUGGUUGAAUGACUGUCUCUUUGCACCAUUUUGUUAAGCAGUGUUGUGUUUUCUAUUUAAUAAUUCAGUUCCAGUUAUAUUCACGUUAGGUUUGGUUACAAGAUAGAGCGAGAGUGCGUAAGCGAAGCUUAACCCGAAGGCGCGCCCGAAAUUGACAGACGUCAAAACGCGGUUGGCCAGGUAGCGCAAUAAUUCCAAACAGCAGGUUGGACCAUACAUAACAAGCUGUCUGCCGGAUUUUCUUUCAUGGGAACAUGCUUCCAGUUGUGCAGUUCGGAUAGCGUUAGUAAUUCACCAACUCGGCAGGCUACAAAUUGUUUAAACUCUCGCCUGGGAGAACAAAUCCAGGACAAGACAACUUCAGAGUCUGUAUGUAUGAAUUUGUGACGAAUAUGUACAGUAGAGCGUCGAUUAUCCGGGCAGCUCGGGACCGAACGGUUGCCGGUUAAUCGAUUUGCACGGAUAA